Molecule: ribosomal RNA, 495 nt
Filed under: uncultured bacterium
Lineage: Bacteria
Description: partial 16S ribosomal RNA
Rfam family: Bacterial small subunit ribosomal RNA
Source: RNAcentral
GACGAACGCUGGCGGCGUGCCUAAUACAUGCAAGUAGAACGCUGAAGGAGGAGCUUGCUUCUCUGGAUGAGUUGCGAACGGGUGAGUAACGCGUAGGUAACCUGCCUGGUAGCGGGGGAUAACUAUUGGAAACGAUAGCUAAUACCGCAUAAGAGUAGAUGUUGCAUGACAUUUGCUUAAAAGGUGCAAUUGCAUCACUACCAGAUGGACCUGCGUUGUAUUAGCUAGUUGGUGGGGUAACGGCUCACCAAGGCGACGAUACAUAGCCGACCUGAGAGGGUGAUCGGCCAAACUUGGAAUGAGACACGGCCCCGGCUCCUACGGGAGGCAGCAAGAGGGAAACUUCGGCAAUGGACGGAAGGCUGAACGGGCAACGCCGCGUGAGUGAAGAAGGUUUUCGGAUCGUAAAGCUCUGUUGUAAGGGAAGAAAGAGUGUGAGAGUGGAAAGUUCACACUGUGACGGUAUCUUACCAGAAAGGGACGGCUAACUACGUG